RNAcentral lists this ribosomal RNA (701 nucleotides) under uncultured Bacteroidales bacterium. Its description in RNAcentral is "bacterial SSU rRNA". It matches the Rfam family "Bacterial small subunit ribosomal RNA", at positions 66 to 757 of the family's 1533-position model. The record is from RNAcentral. Lineage: Bacteria; Pseudomonadati; Bacteroidota; Bacteroidia; Bacteroidales.
GGGGCAGCAUGAACUUAGCUUGCUAAGUUUGAUGGCGACCGGCGCACGGGUGAGUAACACGUAUCCAACCUGCCGAUGACUCGGGGAUAGCCUUUCGAAAGAAAGAUUAAUACCCGAUGGCAUAGUUCUUCCGCAUGGUAGAACUAUUAAAGAAUUUCGGUCAUCGAUGGGGAUGCGUUCCAUUAGGUUGUUGGCGGGGUAACGGCCCACCAAGCCUUCGAUGGAUAGGGGUUCUGAGAGGAAGGUCCCCCACAUUGGAACUGAGACACGGUCCAAACUCCUACGGGAGGCAGCAGUGAGGAAUAUUGGUCAAUGGACGAGAGUCUGAACCAGCCAAGUAGCGUGAAGGAUGACUGCCCUAUGGGUUGUAAACUUCUUUUAUACGGGAAUAAAGUGAGGCACGUGUGCCUUUUUGUAUGUACCGUAUGAAUAAGGAUCGGCUAACUCCGUGCCAGCAGCCGCGGUAAUACGGAGGAUCCGAGCGUUAUCCGGAUUUAUUGGGUUUAAAGGGAGCGUAGGCGGACGCUUAAGUCAGUUGUGAAAGUUUGCGGCUCAACCGUAAAAUUGCAGUUGAUACUGGGUGUCUUGAGUACAGUAGAGGCAGGCGGAAUUCGUGGUGUAGCGGUGAAAUGCUUAGAUAUCACGAAGAACUCCGAUUGCGAAGGCAGCUUGCUGGACUGUAACUGACGCUGAUGCUCGAA